RNAcentral lists this ribosomal RNA (390 nucleotides) under Myrianida sp. 452a PB. RNAcentral describes it as "partial 16S ribosomal RNA". It matches the Rfam family "Bacterial large subunit ribosomal RNA", at positions 1959 to 2597 of the family's 2925-position model. The record is from RNAcentral. Lineage: Eukaryota; Metazoa; Annelida; Polychaeta; Phyllodocida; Syllidae.
GCAUAAUCAAUUGCCCCUUAAUUAGGGGCUAGAAUGAAUGACUACACGAUAGUUUAACUAUGAUUCAAGAUAAAAUAAAAAUUAACCUUCAAGUGAAAAGGCUUGAAUAAAAUAAAAAGACAAAAAGACCCUAUCAAGCUUAAUAUUUACUUAUCUCCCACGUAAGAUAUAUUUUACUGGGGCGGUAGUGGAAUAUCACUAACUUCCAUUUACAAUUUAGAAAUUAACUCGCAAAAAAUUUUUUAUAAAAAGAAAGCUACUGUAGGGAUAACAGGCUAAUAUUUUCUCAGAGAACAAAUUAAAGAAAGUGUAUGGCACCUCGAUGUUGGCUUAGGAGAACUGUGCCCCGCAGAAGGGGCACAAGUUAGUUUGUUCAACUAUUAAACUCCU